RNAcentral lists this ribosomal RNA (2349 nucleotides) under Escherichia coli B103. RNAcentral's name for it is "bacterial LSU rRNA". It matches the Rfam family "Bacterial large subunit ribosomal RNA", at positions 593 to 2925 of the family's 2925-position model. The record is from RNAcentral. Lineage: Bacteria; Pseudomonadati; Pseudomonadota; Gammaproteobacteria; Enterobacterales; Enterobacteriaceae.
GUGACUGCGUACCUUUUGUAUAAUGGGUCAGCGACUUAUAUUCUGUAGCAAGGUUAACCGAAUAGGGGAGCCGAAGGGAAACCGAGUCUUAACUGGGCGUUAAGUUGCAGGGUAUAGACCCGAAACCCGGUGAUCUAGCCAUGGGCAGGUUGAAGGUUGGGUAACACUAACUGGAGGACCGAACCGACUAAUGUUGAAAAAUUAGCGGAUGACUUGUGGCUGGGGGUGAAAGGCCAAUCAAACCGGGAGAUAGCUGGUUCUCCCCGAAAGCUAUUUAGGUAGCGCCUCGUGAAUUCAUCUCCGGGGGUAGAGCACUGUUUCGGCAAGGGGGUCAUCCCGACUUACCAACCCGAUGCAAACUGCGAAUACCGGAGAAUGUUAUCACGGGAGACACACGGCGGGUGCUAACGUCCGUCGUGAAGAGGGAAACAACCCAGACCGCCAGCUAAGGUCCCAAAGUCAUGGUUAAGUGGGAAACGAUGUGGGAAGGCCCAGACAGCCAGGAUGUUGGCUUAGAAGCAGCCAUCAUUUAAAGAAAGCGUAAUAGCUCACUGGUCGAGUCGGCCUGCGCGGAAGAUGUAACGGGGCUAAACCAUGCACCGAAGCUGCGGCAGCGACACUGUGUGUUGUUGGGUAGGGGAGCGUUCUGUAAGCCUGUGAAGGUGUCUGUGAGGAUGCUGGAGGUAUCAGAAGUGCGAAUGCUGACAUAAGUAACGAUAAAGCGGGUGAAAAGCCCGCUCGCCGGAAGACCAAGGGUUCCUGUCCAACGUUAAUCGGGGCAGGGUGAGUCGACCCCUAAGGCGAGGCCGAAAGGCGUAGUCGAUGGGAAACAGGUUAAUAUUCCUGUACUUGGUGUUACUGCGAAGGGGGGACGGAGAAGGCUAUGUUGGCCGGGCGACGGUUGUCCCGGUUUAAGCGUGUAGGCUGGUUUUCCAGGCAAAUCCGGAAAAUCAAGGCUGAGGCGUGAUGACGAGGCACUACGGUGCUGAAGCAACAAAUGCCCUGCUUCCAGGAAAAGCCUCUAAGCAUCAGGUAACAUCAAAUCGUACCCCAAACCGACACAGGUGGUCAGGUAGAGAAUACCAAGGCGCUUGAGAGAACUCGGGUGAAGGAACUAGGCAAAAUGGUGCCGUAACUUCGGGAGAAGGCACGCUGAUAUGUAGGUGAAGUCCCUCGCGGAUGGAGCUGAAAUCAGUCGAAGAUACCAGCUGGCUGCAACUGUUUAUUAAAAACACAGCACUGUGCAAACACGAAAGUGGACGUAUACGGUGUGACGCCUGCCCGGUGCCGGAAGGUUAAUUGAUGGGGUCAGCGCAAGCGAAGCUCUUGAUCGAAGCCCCGGUAAACGGCGGCCGUAACUAUAACGGUCCUAAGGUAGCGAAAUUCCUUGUCGGGUAAGUUCCGACCUGCACGAAUGGCGUAAUGAUGGCCAGGCUGUCUCCACCCGAGACUCAGUGAAAUUGAACUCGCUGUGAAGAUGCAGUGUACCCGCGGCAAGACGGAAAGACCCCGUGAACCUUUACUAUAGCUUGACACUGAACAUUGAGCCUUGAUGUGUAGGAUAGGUGGGAGGCUUUGAAGUGUGGACGCCAGUCUGCAUGGAGCCGACCUUGAAAUACCACCCUUUAAUGUUUGAUGUUCUAACGUGGACCCGUGAUCCGGGUUGCGGACAGUGUCUGGUGGGUAGUUUGACUGGGGCGGUCUCCUCCUAAAGAGUAACGGAGGAGCACGAAGGUUGGCUAAUCCUGGUCGGACAUCAGGAGGUUAGUGCAAUGGCAUAAGCCAGCUUGACUGCGAGCGUGACGGCGCGAGCAGGUGCGAAAGCAGGUCAUAGUGAUCCGGUGGUUCUGAAUGGAAGGGCCAUCGCUCAACGGAUAAAAGGUACUCCGGGGAUAACAGGCUGAUACCGCCCAAGAGUUCAUAUCGACGGCGGUGUUUGGCACCUCGAUGUCGGCUCAUCACAUCCUGGGGCUGAAGUAGGUCCCAAGGGUAUGGCUGUUCGCCAUUUAAAGUGGUACGCGAGCUGGGUUUAGAACGUCGUGAGACAGUUCGGUCCCUAUCUGCCGUGGGCGCUGGAGAACUGAGGGGGGCUGCUCCUAGUACGAGAGGACCGGAGUGGACGCAUCACUGGUGUUCGGGUUGUCAUGCCAAUGGCACUGCCCGGUAGCUAAAUGCGGAAGAGAUAAGUGCUGAAAGCAUCUAAGCACGAAACUUGCCCCGAGAUGAGUUCUCCCUGACCCUUUAAGGGUCCUGAAGGAACGUUGAAGACGACGACGUUGAUAGGCCGGGUGUGUAAGCGCAGCGAUGCGUUGAGCUAACCGGUACUAAUGAACCGUGAGGCUUAACCUU